UCGGAGAUAGCUCAGUGAAAGUAAGAGCGCUAGGAUGCCAUUCUAGAAGUCACGGUGCGAAUCCGUUCUCCGAUACCA
This 78-nucleotide transfer RNA is filed under the name Candidatus Saccharimonadota bacterium. Its description in RNAcentral is "Candidatus Saccharibacteria bacterium tRNA-Gly". It matches the Rfam family "tRNA". From Rfam's summary of the family: Transfer RNA (tRNA) molecules are approximately 80 nucleotides in length. Their secondary structure includes four short double-helical elements and three loops (D, anti-codon, and T loops). The record is from RNAcentral. Lineage: Bacteria; Candidatus Saccharimonadota.